AUCUUUGGUUAUCUAGCUGUAUGAGUGUUAGUCAACCAUCAUAAAGCUAGAUAACCGAAAGU
Non-coding RNA from Scleropages formosus (Asian bonytongue), 62 nucleotides. Lineage: Eukaryota; Metazoa; Chordata; Actinopteri; Osteoglossiformes; Osteoglossidae. The record is from Rfam.